GACAUGGAGUUUGUUAGUUGCUUAUAUAGAAUGCUCAUUUUAGGCUAGAAGCUCAGAAACAGAUUUCUUUGUUGUCUCUUUUAUUGCUAACCAAGGAAAUCACAACUUGUAGAUUUCACCGAAAUUUCAAGUCUUCGAAUCUUCACCUUAAUGACGGGCUUGAAUUACGUGUUUCAGACUGCAGUUUGGCUCCUCUACUAUUGUCUGGUUCUGCGUGUCAGGAUUACGAACACCAGGAGACCAGAGGCAGAUCACACCUGCGGGUGAUGGAGUGUGAAGUUUUGCUGAUGCAUCUGGCAUGUAUUCAAAGAAUACCCAUCAUCAAAUAACAUCAGUGGACAGGGCACUUUGUUGCAGGCUUCUGCGCCACAACUUAUUGGAAGCUCAGCUGCAUCUCCUAGUGCCACAACUGCUACUUCCUUUGAUAACACAACAACAGCUCCACUGCAAUAUGCCAAUUCUCCUGGGUCAGGUACAAACGGAUAAACACCAUCUCCUCAGCAACAUACCCCUCAGCAGCAACAGCAGCAAAGGCAGAAACUGAUGCAACUACCUCAGCAUCAGCAGCAGCAACUCCUUGCACAGCAACAGUUCAGUCAAUCUGUGAUGCAAGGACUGGGACAUGAGAAAAAAUACCACAAUAUAUGAAUUUGAAGUGGUUGCAUCUUUUAGUUGAUUCAAUAAACAAUUCUGAAUUGCUAGUUAUGUUUAUGCUUCCAGUGUUCCAUCCAAAGUUGAGGAUGCUUAUGGAAGUUUGGACAUAUAAUUUCUUGCACUAGAGCAUGCUUAAUUAUAUGUAUGUUUGUAAAUGAACUUUCACACCAACUUUGGCUUUGUUUAGGAUAAAAUUUAAAUUUUGGAAAUUUGAUUGGUUUUUAGGACUUACUGGAGGCAAGAAAAUAAUUGUAUUUAAAAUGGGUGAAACACAUGAUGUAAACUAUUUUGAGAACAAAAAGGAAAAAUCAUCUCCCUUUGUAUCUGCCUCCCUCUUAUAUCACAAUCUGUUCUAGAACCUUGAUUUGUGUCUUAUGUUAAUCUCUCCGAAUGCUUUCCUACUUAGGAAGUUCUGCUCUAGCAUUUGAAUAGGACUUAUAUAAGUUUGUUGAAAUUGAUAAUUGUUUGUUGCUAGAUGAUUUUCAUCAUUAACCAUUUCACUGUCAUAUGCAGAACCAGCUGCCUCAGCUGCAUGAUUUGCAG
Quercus robur (English oak) is the source of this 1197-nucleotide long non-coding RNA. RefSeq lists it as uncharacterized. The transcript has 4 exons. The record is from RefSeq and is a predicted model, not a curated record. Lineage: Eukaryota; Viridiplantae; Streptophyta; Magnoliopsida; Fagales; Fagaceae.